AACUAACGCUGGCGGCGUGCCUAACACAUGCAAGUCGUACGAGAAAGCCGGCUUCGGCUGGUGAGUAAAGUGGCGCACGGGUGAGUAACGCGUGGAUAAUCUGCCCUUAAGUGUGGAAUAACGUACCGAAAGGUGCGCUAAUACCGCAUAAUGCCUGGCAACACAAGUUGUCCGGCCAAAGAAGGCCUCUGUUUACAAGCUUUCGCUUCAGGAUGAGUCCGCGUACCAUUAGCUUGUUGGUGGGGUAAUGGCCUACCAAGGCUGCGAUGGUUAGCUGGUCUGAGAGGAUGAUCAGCCACACUGGAACUGAGACACGGUCCAGACUCCUACGGGAGGCAGCAGUGAGGAAUAUUGCGCAAUGGGGGCAACCCUGACGCAGCAACGCCGCGUGAGUGAGGAAGGUUUUCGGAUUGUAAAGCUCUGUCGAGCGGAAAGAAAUGCACGAUGGCUAAUAUCCAUCAUGCUUGACGGUACCG
This 476-nucleotide ribosomal RNA is filed under the name uncultured bacterium. RNAcentral's name for it is "bacterial SSU rRNA". It matches the Rfam family "Bacterial small subunit ribosomal RNA", at positions 29 to 480 of the family's 1533-position model. The record is from RNAcentral.